GGGUAGAUGGCGGAGCGGUCAAUCGCAGCAGACUGUAAAUCUGCCGGCUUUAUGCCUACGGGGGUUCGAAUCCCUCUCUGCCCACCA
RNAcentral lists this transfer RNA (87 nucleotides) under bacterium. Its description in RNAcentral is "tRNA-Tyr". It matches the Rfam family "tRNA". From Rfam's summary of the family: Transfer RNA (tRNA) molecules are approximately 80 nucleotides in length. Their secondary structure includes four short double-helical elements and three loops (D, anti-codon, and T loops). RNAcentral also lists the same sequence under 1 other name. The record is from RNAcentral.